Trifolium pratense (red clover) is the source of this 1171-nucleotide long non-coding RNA. RefSeq lists it as uncharacterized. NCBI's taxonomy places the organism in Eukaryota, Viridiplantae, Streptophyta, Magnoliopsida, Fabales, Fabaceae. The record is from RefSeq and is a predicted model, not a curated record. The transcript has 3 exons.
GUUUGUUGUUGAGAGUCUUACCUUGUAUCGUAGGUUGGUUUGGGAACCUUGAGUUUUGGUAGGUUGGAUUCGAGUUUCGUUUAGUUAGUUCGAGUAUCGUCGAUUAACGACAUUAUUUGCUGAGAUCGUGUCUGUUUCUCGCUCGAGUGUCAGAAUUGUUUGGGGUUUGUUUUGUUGGUCUUCUUUUGAGAGAGCGAACGUUCCUGUGUUUUUAGAAUUUCAUUUUUCGCGUUAACCUAUUUUCUUAUAAAACGAUCUAAAAUUUGUCCGACGUUCCGAAAUCUUUCGAACUCGGAAUUCUUUUAAAAUUUAACCCGAAGUUUUAUAUAUCGGCGUGAGUUAGGAAAUGUCUUUAAAAUAUUUUUAAGAGUUAGGGUUGAGAAUCACAGUCGAGGAAAAAUAUUUCGAGUAACUUUUCGUAAACCAUUUUUAACGGACAUUUAAAUUCUUAAUUUUCUUAUUUCGCGACUUUUGUCCGUGAGCGUAACGCGACUCGUCUGUGGAGGGUUUUAAUCUCUAAACUUUAUGAGAAUAUCUUUGUCACAAAAGUAAAAGAUCUAAUGGUGAGGAUUCAAUUUGCUUUUUGAUCCAAUGGCUAGGGAAUGCCUAGGCUUUACUUGUGAAGGAAGGUCACAUUGCUUUUUGUACUUAGCCAAAAUCAAAAGAUCACUUUUUCUUUCUCCUUUCUUCUUCUCUUUGCCGUGGCUUCUCCUCUCUUAAACCCCAUCUUCAUAAAUUUUUCCUUUCCACCAUUUUCAUUAAAGAUCAAGCUUGCUUUCCAUUAGUUCUUUGCUAGCUUACUUCCUUCUUGAGGAAACGAGUAACGGUGUUUAAUUGCGCGUUCGAUUGUGUGAUUGGAAACUUUUACCGAGAUGACAUUCAUGAGCGUGGUGCCGUCGGCCACGAGGAUGAGAUUGAUUUGGAGCGCUCUUAGGAUUGUGGUGUUUGUGAUGAGACGUUCUCCACCACGUCCAUUUGAUCAGACCUAGAGUCUUAGUUCAUUUUGCUUACGUAUCUAGUUUAUUUUGAGAUGUAGUACUUUGACAGACUAUUAUACUUAUGGUGCCUUAGUGGCCUUGCGAUACAUUAGGUUCACGUAACCGUCUUUGUGGUUCGUGAACUAAUUGUAUCCCUUUUGAUAUGUAUAUUAUUCAGGUGAACACUUGCUUCC